Triticum aestivum (bread wheat) is the source of this 115-nucleotide non-coding RNA. NCBI's taxonomy places the organism in Eukaryota, Viridiplantae, Streptophyta, Magnoliopsida, Poales, Poaceae. The record is from Rfam.
CAUGUACUCCCUCUGUUCGUAAUUACUUGUCGCGGAAAUGGAUGUAUCUAGACGUAUUUUAAUUCUAGAUACAUCCAUUUUCGAGACAAGUAAUUCCGAACAGAGGGAGCACCCU